This 295-nucleotide ribosomal RNA is filed under the name uncultured bacterium. Its description in RNAcentral is "partial 16S ribosomal RNA". It matches the Rfam family "Bacterial small subunit ribosomal RNA", at positions 773 to 1060 of the family's 1533-position model. The record is from RNAcentral.
GUGGAUUAGAUACCCGGGUAGUCCACGCGGUAAACGAUGGGCACUAGGUGUGGGGGGUAUCCACUCCUCCCGUGCCGAAGCUAACGCAUUAAGUGCCCCGCCUGGGGAGUACGGCCGCAAGGUUAAAACUCAAAGGAAUUGACGGGGGCCCGCACAAGCGGUGGAGCAUGUGGUUUAAUUCGACGCAACGCGAAGAACCUUACCUGGGCUUGACAUCCCUGGAACUUCCUGGAAACAGGGAGGUGCCCUCGAAAGAGGGAGCCAGGAGACAGGUGCUGCACGGCCGUCGACAACU